Non-coding RNA from Bos taurus (domestic cattle), 73 nucleotides. Lineage: Eukaryota; Metazoa; Chordata; Mammalia; Artiodactyla; Bovidae. The record is from Rfam.
UCCCUGAUGGUCCAGUGGCAAAGACUCCAUGCUCCCAAUGCAGGGGGCUUGGGUUCGAUCCCUAGUCAGGGAA